GAUGAACGCUAGCGGCAGGCUUAAUACAUGCAAGUCGAGGGGCAGCAUAAAAGUAGCAAUACUUUGGUGGCGACCGGCGCACGGGUGAGUAACGCGUAUGCAACCUACCUAUCAGAGGGGAAUAACCCGGCGAAAGUCGGACUAAUACCGCAUAAAACAGGGGCACCGCAUGGUGAUAUUUGUUAAAGAAAUUCGCUGAUAGAUGGGCAUGCGUUCCAUUAGGUAGUUGGUGAGGUAACGGCUCACCAAGCCGACGAUGGAUAGGGGAGCUGAGAGGUUGGUCCCCCACACUGGUACUGAGACACGGACCAGACUCCUACGGGAGGCAGCAGUGAGGAAUAUUGGUCAAUGGGCGAGAGCCUGAACCAGCCAAGUCGCGUGAAGGAAGAAGGAUCUAUGGUUCGUAAACUUCUUUUGCAGGGGAAUAAAGUGCGGGACGUGUCCUGUUUUGUAUGUACCCUGAGAAUAAGGAUCGGCUAACUCCGUGCCAGCCGCCGCGGUAA
RNAcentral lists this ribosomal RNA (503 nucleotides) under uncultured bacterium. Its description in RNAcentral is "partial 16S ribosomal RNA". It matches the Rfam family "Bacterial small subunit ribosomal RNA", at positions 28 to 523 of the family's 1533-position model. The record is from RNAcentral.